This 469-nucleotide ribosomal RNA is filed under the name Comamonadaceae bacterium. RNAcentral's name for it is "bacterial SSU rRNA". It matches the Rfam family "Bacterial small subunit ribosomal RNA", at positions 391 to 853 of the family's 1533-position model. Lineage: Bacteria; Pseudomonadati; Pseudomonadota; Betaproteobacteria; Burkholderiales; Comamonadaceae. The record is from RNAcentral.
GCAAUGCCGCGUGCAGGAUGAAGGCCUUCGGGUUGUAAACUGCUUUUGUACGGAACGAAACGGCUCCCUCUAAUACAGUUUGCUAAUGACGGUACCGUAAGAAUAAGCACCGGCUAACUACGUGCCAGCAGCCGCGGUAAUACGUAGGGUGCGAGCGUUAAUCGGAAUUACUGGGCGUAAAGCGUGCGCAGGCGGUGAUAUNAGACAGAUGUGAAAUCCCCGGGCUCAACCUGGGACCUGCAUUUGUGACUGUAUCGCUAGAGUACGGUAGAGGGGGAUGGAAUUCCGCGUGUAGCAGUGAAAUGCGUAGAUAUGCGGAGGAACACCGAUGGCGAAGGCAAUCCCCUGGACCUGUACUGACGCUCAUGCACGAAAGCGUGGGGAGCAAACAGGAUUAGAUACCCUGGUAGUCCACGCCCUAAACGAUGUCAACUGGUUGUUGGGUCUUCACUGACUCAGUAACGAAGCU